This 468-nucleotide ribosomal RNA is filed under the name uncultured bacterium. RNAcentral describes it as "partial 16S ribosomal RNA". It matches the Rfam family "Bacterial small subunit ribosomal RNA", at positions 28 to 507 of the family's 1533-position model. The record is from RNAcentral.
GACGAACGCUGGCGGCGUGCUUAACACAUGCAAGUCGAACGGAAAGGCCCUGCUUUUGUGGGGUGCUCGAGUGGCGAACGGGUGAGUAACACGUGAGUAACCUGCCCUUGACUUUGGGAUAACUUCAGGAAACUGGGGCUAAUACCGGAUAGGAGCUCCUGCUGCAUGGUGGGGGUUGGAAAGUUUCGGCGGUUGGGGAUGGACUCGCGGCUUAUCAGCUUGUGGGUGGGGUAGUGGCUUACCAAGGCUUUGACGGGUAGCCGGCCUGAGAGGGUGACCGGCCACAUUGGGACUGAGAUACGGCCCAGACUCCUCCGGGAGGCAGCAGUGGGGAAUAUUGCACAAUGGGCGGAAGCCUGAUGCAGCAACGCCGCGUGCGGGAUGACGGCCUUCGGGUUGUAACCCGCUUUCGCCUGUGACGAAGCGUGAGUGACGGUAAUGGGUAAAGAAGCACCGGCUAACUACGUG